AAUUCUUUAAUUAGGGUUUUCUAUAACUACUUCUUGUGCCACUAUAUACCAGGCUAUAUAUAUUUGCUUAAAAUUAGUUGCCUAUGGCUUAUGUCGAUGCUUUUUUUUUGUUUAUAUACUUUUGGAAAUAUUAGCAUGCGGUGCUUUUUCCAACUAUAAAUAUCAUCUUUGCUUUUUCACCAGGAGUGUUUGUUCUAGAUUUCUUUUAUAAAGUUUUAGGUUUUUUUUUCUUCAAAAAAUAGUAAUAUUUUCAACCUGAUAUUUCUUUUUCUUUUUUUAAUCUAUUAAUUAAGCUACUAAUUAAGCGAAAACGGAAACUUAAGAACCUAUUUGAUAAAAAGAGGUGUAUAGGCAGCUUGAUAGGAUGUUUGCCACUGUAUACUUGUGGGCGAUGAUUGUGUCUCCUAUCCGCUAAAGCUCCUCAACAAAUUUAGUUUCUUUUUUAGUGAAAGUGAACAUAUAGCGACAAUAUGAUAAUAUCACUUGAGACAAUAUACUAGGCGAAUAAUAGUGCAAUAUUGGUCACUUUACGUUUGAGCUCUGUUUUCUUGCUAAUCUCUCUCUAUAUAUAUAUAGCUAGGAUUUAAGGAGGUGAUGUGGCAUGCCUUUUGAUCGAAAAACACAUUUAUCUUUUUUUUCUUUUUUUGGUAUUUUUUGACUUAUCUCUCUAUUUAUCUUAUUUAAAUAAAUUUAAUAUGUCCAAAAAAACUCUCUUCUAACGUUGAGUUCCUUCGUAUUCGUAACCAACUCAUCCUUUUAAAUUUUAUAAUUGUUGUAACAAUUAAAGAGGACGGCAUUAUAUUCAGUACAGUUGAACAGUUGUAACAAUUAAAGAAAAUAUUUAUGAAUCGGUGUAAGCCUGCAAACUACUAUAUAAAAAUUCACGGUGUGAAUUAGUGUAACUCUACUUUUUCUUUUUCUAAACAAUAGCCUGCAAAUAAUAUAAGCCCGUGAUAUCUACUGGGGAUAAAUUGGGAGGAAGGUAACAACAAGUUUUUUCACAACAGGAGUCAGACACCUAUAUGGUAAUUCUGAACUUUUUCAGAUUUCAGUCACUUAUAAAUAUCUCUUACUCCAUUCUUCUCCCAAAUCCUUUAAUGUAUUUGUUCAAUGAUACGAGUUUGCAAUUUAAAUUGAUUUGUUGCAUGUGUAUGUUGUUGAUUAAUUGUAGUUGAUGACGGUUCUUUGUGAUAUAAUUGGAAAGCACUGUAUCAGUUUCACAGUCAAUACGGAGGUAAUUUUCGUACCUUUUUCUUAAAUUUUUCUAUUUUGUACUUAUGGGGUUGUAAUCUUUUAGAAUCUUGAUCUUUUAUGUUUUUUCUUUUACGUCAUUGCUCUCAGGAC
Molecule: long non-coding RNA, 1344 nt
Filed under: Nicotiana tabacum (common tobacco)
Lineage: Eukaryota; Viridiplantae; Streptophyta; Magnoliopsida; Solanales; Solanaceae
Description: long non-coding RNA (NTAB_LNC008525)
Source: RNAcentral